GGGUUGUGAGGUUAAGCGACUAAGCGUACACGGUGGAUGCCCUGGCAGUCAGAGGCGAUGAAGGACGUGCUAAUCUGCGAUAAGCGCCGGUAAGGUGAUAUGAACCGUUAUAACCGGCGAUUUCCGAAUGGGGAAACCCAGUGUGACUCGUCACACUAUCAUUAACUGAAUCCAUAGGUUAAUGAGGCGAACCGGGGGAACUGAAACAUCUAAGUACCCCGAGGAAAAGAAAUCAACCGAGAUUCCCCCAGUAGCGGCGAGCGAACGGGGAGGAGCCCAGAGCCUGAAUCAGCAUGUGUGUUAGUGGAAGCGUCUGGAAAGGCGCGCGAUACAGGGUGACAGCCCCGUACACAAAAGCGCAUGUGCUGUGAGCUCGAUGAGUAGGGCGGGACACGUGGUAUCCUGUCUGAAUAUGGGGGGACCAUCCUCCAAGGCUAAAUACUCCUGACUGACCGAUAGUGAACCAGUACCGUGAGGGAAAGGCGAAAAGAACCCCGGCGAGGGGAGUGAAAAAGAACCUGAAACCGUGUACGUACAAGCAGUGGGAGCACCCUUUGGGGUGUGACUGCGUACCUUUUGUAUAAUGGGUCAGCGACUUAUAUUCUGUAGCAAGGUUAACCGCAUAGGGGAGCCG
This 634-nucleotide ribosomal RNA is filed under the name Salmonella enterica. RNAcentral describes it as "partial 23S ribosomal RNA". It matches the Rfam family "Bacterial large subunit ribosomal RNA", at positions 1 to 668 of the family's 2925-position model. Lineage: Bacteria; Pseudomonadati; Pseudomonadota; Gammaproteobacteria; Enterobacterales; Enterobacteriaceae. The record is from RNAcentral.